ACUGUUAGCAGCGUAGAAUUGAGGAGUUGGAAGAGACCUUUAGAACAGCUGGUCAUUAUGCCAACUGGGUGUCCAAACUAAGUUGGGCAUCAAUAUGGUGACUUCCUGGGAGCAGGGCACUACCAGCUUACCUAAGGAUGGGUGAACUGGCCCAGGUCAGAAAUGAAGCAGGUCAGAACUCCCAUGCUGAUCGGUAGUGGGACUGCACCUGGGCAGCAUAGCGAGCCCUUGGCUCUUAAAAAAGAAU
Gorilla gorilla gorilla (western lowland gorilla) is the source of this 247-nucleotide unclassified non-coding RNA. It matches the Rfam family "Metazoan signal recognition particle RNA". From Rfam's summary of the family: The signal recognition particle (SRP) is a universally conserved ribonucleoprotein. It is involved in the co-translational targeting of proteins to membranes. The eukaryotic SRP consists of a 300-nucleotide 7S RNA and six proteins: SRPs 72, 68, 54, 19, 14, and 9. The record is from Ensembl. NCBI's taxonomy places the organism in Eukaryota, Metazoa, Chordata, Mammalia, Primates, Hominidae.